CAGUAGCCGCGGUAAUACGGAGGGGGCUAGCGUUGCUCGGAAUGACUGGGCGUAAAGGGCGCGUAGGCGGCGAUCAAAGUCAGGCGUGAAAUUCCUGGGCUCAACCUGGGGGCUGCGUUUGAUACUUGAUUGCUAGAGUGGGGAAGAGGGUCGUGGAAUUCCCAGUGUAGAGGUGAUAUUCGUAGAUAUUAGGAAGAACACCAGUGGCGAAGGCGGCUCACUGGCCCGGAACUGACACUGAGGCACGAAAGCGUGGGGAUCAAACAGGAUUAGAUACCCCAGUAGUCCCUGUCUCUUAUAC
RNAcentral lists this ribosomal RNA (301 nucleotides) under uncultured bacterium. Its description in RNAcentral is "partial 16S ribosomal RNA". It matches the Rfam family "Bacterial small subunit ribosomal RNA", at positions 509 to 807 of the family's 1533-position model. The record is from RNAcentral.